AAUGAACGCUGGCGGCAUGCCUAACACAUGCAAGUCGAACGAAGGCUUCUGCCUUAGUUGCGCACGGGUGCGUAACGCGAGGGAAACUGCACUUGGGUUCCGAAUAACAGAUAGAAUUGACUGCUCAUACCGGAUGAUGUCGUAACACUAAAGAUUUAACGCCCAAGGGUGAGCCCGCGUAGGAUUAGCUAGUUGGUGGAGUAAAGGCCUACCAAGGCUACGAUCCUUAGCUGGUCUGAGAGGAUGAUCAGCCACACUGGGACUGAGACACGGCCCAGACUCCUACGGGCGGCAGCAGUGUGGAAUAUUGGACACUGGCCGAAAGCCUGAUCCCGCAAUGACGCGUGAGUGAUGAAGGGCUUAGUGUUGUAAAGCUCUUUUAUCCGGGAGGAUAAUGACAGUACCGGGAGAAUAAGCCCCGGCUAACUUCGUG
RNAcentral lists this ribosomal RNA (433 nucleotides) under uncultured bacterium. Its description in RNAcentral is "partial 16S ribosomal RNA". It matches the Rfam family "Bacterial small subunit ribosomal RNA", at positions 29 to 507 of the family's 1533-position model. The record is from RNAcentral.